This is a non-coding RNA of Delphinapterus leucas (beluga whale), 1402 nucleotides long. Lineage: Eukaryota; Metazoa; Chordata; Mammalia; Artiodactyla; Monodontidae. The record is from RefSeq and is a predicted model, not a curated record.
CCCUGCCUCCCCGGGCUUGUGGCCCCUGGUACCUUCAGAGUUCUUCGGCGUUUGCAGAGGUGUAGGAGGAAACUUGCAGGGCUCUGCGGAAUGCGAACCCGUGCUGGUCUUCUAAAGUAAAAGCUGCUGACUGGAUAAUGACGCAUGCUCCUAAGCGUUGGGAUGGUGACUACAGGGGAUCCUGCUGCCAACCGUCUUAAGACAAAUAAGCCCUCCUGAUCCUUGGGACCAUCAGACAUUUAGGAUCUAAUGCUUGAAAGAGUUGCUUCGCUUGUUAGGUGUUGGAUGCCAUCUGUUCAGAGCCAAAGGCUCUCCUCCUCUGCUGUUGAUUGUCAUUAUUUAAUGUGGGGCAAGGAGAAUAAAAUAGACGCUUCCACUGGCUGCCUUUGGACAAGGCCCAGGAAUGGCACCUGGUACGGUUUUUGAUUUUUCAUUUAUUUUCUGAUGGAGGUGGCACAUCUGGGGAUCGUAGGUAGAUUGCACUCGUUUACCAGACUGUGGAAGAUGGUAAUCUUGCAAGGCAAAUUCAUUUCACAGUGUCUCCAGAAAGUUCCUAAUCCAAAGGAUUACUUUAUCGAAAACGAGGAAGGUCCUGCUUUUUGCUCUUGUUGCACUGCUGCUCAUGUGCCUUCUGCAUUUCCUGUCGGUUUUAAGUUGUCAGUCAGUCUAAUGCAGCUGAAAACGCACGUUCUCAGUCACAGUGUGGUGGAGGAGCCCAUUUCAGUGAAAUGUUUCAAUCCCUUUCAGUGUUUGAAGUGCCAAGUGAAAUCACACAUGCUGAGAAUAUUAGAGCCUAGCAAGGCAGGUCAGAAAAUGAUGUCAGAGGCCUUUAGUGGAAAUUAGAGAGCCGGGAAGUGGAAUCUCAGGUUGGUUGAUUAGAAUAGCAAUGACUCCAAAUCUACUAUCAGGUGGGUGGAGGGGGGUGUGUCCCCCAACAAAACUGGAAGAGACAGAACCUCCACUGUGACCGCGUGCUGACUGUGCCAGAGAAAUGAGCUGUUAAAUUUCCCUGUUGACGCGCCGGUUGUGGAGAGCAGAGUGAAAACCGACCAGCACAGAGCUUGGCCCGAGUUAGAAGUGGGCCAGUUGCUACUGACACCGCAACGUGAACGCUUCGCUGACCGUCUGAAAGCAGCACAUUUCCCCCACCAAACCUUCACAGAACAAGUCACCUUAGAGAAGCCUACCAAACAUUUGGAACAUUCAUAAGUAUCCACCCUAUUAACACUGAUGCUCCCUUGGUUAUUACUAAUGCGGACCUACGUGUUUAUUUAUUAUUUUAAAGAGAAAGUAGAUGGAAAUGUGAAUGUUUUCCACCUUCACCUGGCUUGUCAAAAAUAAUUACUUUUCUGAAAGUUUGAAAUUUACUCAAAAGUAAAAAAAUAAAUGUUUUGGUAGCAGG